AGCGAACGCUGGCGGCAUGCCUAACACAUGCAAGUCGAACGGCAGCACGGCAGUAGCAAUACUGUGGGUGGCGAGUGGCGGACGGGUGAGGAAUACGUCGGAAUCUGCCCAGUCGUGGGGGAUAACUAGCCGAAAGGUUAGCUAAUACCGCAUACGACCGAGAGGUGAAAGCGGGGGACCGCAAGGCCUCGCGCGAUUGGAUGAGCCGACGUCGGAUUAGCUAGUUGGUGGGGUAAAGGCCCACCAAGGCGACGAUCCGUAGCUGGUCUGAGAGGAUGAUCAGCCACACUGGAACUGAGACACGGUCCAGACUCCUACGGGAGGCAGCAGUGGGGAAUAUUGGACAAUGGGCGCAAGCCUGAUCCAGCAAUGCCGCGUGUGUGAAGAAGGCCUCGGUUGGUAAG
This 404-nucleotide ribosomal RNA is filed under the name uncultured bacterium. Its description in RNAcentral is "bacterial SSU rRNA". It matches the Rfam family "Bacterial small subunit ribosomal RNA", at positions 30 to 430 of the family's 1533-position model. The record is from RNAcentral.